Molecule: ribosomal RNA, 493 nt
Filed under: uncultured bacterium
Lineage: Bacteria
Description: partial 16S ribosomal RNA
Rfam family: Bacterial small subunit ribosomal RNA
Source: RNAcentral
GACGAACGCUGGCGGCGUGCUUAACACAUGCAAGUCGAACGGUGAAGCGCCUUCCUUUUUGGUGGGUGUGGAUGAGUGGCGAACGGGUGAGUAACACGUGAGUAACCUGCCCCUUCUUCUGGAUAACCGCAUGUAAGGGUGGCUCAUACUGGGUAUUCCUGGUGCGUCGCAUGAUUGGGCUGGGUAAGGUGUUGGUUCGGGGGGGGGUGGGCUCUCGGCCUAUUAGCUUGUUGGUGGGGUGACGGCCUUCCAAGGCGGUGACGGGUAGCCGGCCUGAGAGGGUGGACGGUCACACUGGGACUGCGACACGGCCGGGACUCCUACGGGAGGCAGCAGUGGGGAAUAGUGCACAGUGGGGGAAAGUCUGAUGCAGCGACGCGGCGUGAGGGAUGGAGGCCUUCGGGUUGUGAACCUCUUUCGCCAGUGAAGCAGGCCUGCCUCGUAUGUGGGUGGGUUGACGGUAGCUGGAUAAGAAGCGCCGGCUAACUACGUG